This 379-nucleotide ribosomal RNA is filed under the name uncultured bacterium. RNAcentral's name for it is "bacterial SSU rRNA". It matches the Rfam family "Bacterial small subunit ribosomal RNA", at positions 521 to 898 of the family's 1533-position model. The record is from RNAcentral.
UAAUACGUAGGUGGCAAGCGUUGUCCGGAAUUAUUGGGCGUAAAGCGCGCGCAGGCGGCUUCUUAAGUCUGAUGUGAAAUCUUGCGGCUCAACCGCAAGCGGUCAUUGGAAACUGGGAGGCUUGAGUGCAGAAGAGGAGAGUGGAAUUCCACGUGUAGCGGUGAAAUGCGUAGAGAUGUGGAGGAACACCAGUGGCGAAGGCGGCUCUCUGGUCUGUAACUGACGCUGAGGCGCGAAAGCGUGGGGAGCAAACAGGAUUAGAUACCCUGGUAGUCCUCGCCGUAAACGAUGAGUGCUAAGUGUUAGAGGGUUUCCGCCCUUUAGUGCUGCAGCUAACGCAUUAAGCACUCCGCCUGGGGAGUACGGCCGCAAGGCUGAA